Punica granatum (pomegranate) is the source of this 1213-nucleotide non-coding RNA. NCBI's taxonomy places the organism in Eukaryota, Viridiplantae, Streptophyta, Magnoliopsida, Myrtales, Lythraceae. The record is from RefSeq and is a predicted model, not a curated record.
AGUGUUUCUUGUAUUUUUUUUUUUCUCUUAGUGGAUGGGGCAAGUUUUCGAAGUCGCACUCCACUACAAUUCCUGUAUAAUCGAUCCAAAUAGAUCACUUAAUUAGUUCAAGCAGACCAUCUAAAUGGAAUUCGAACUUUCAUCGAGUCAAUCCCGAACAUUUGACGAUUUGUAUCAUCUCGCAUACACUCCAAUGACAUUACACUAGCCGUUUGGCUCCGAUCGAGGGGAUUAGAAUAACUGACAGAGAAUUGAACUUUUGAGGAUUCCAAUUGAAGCUUUUAUUCAAAAUCUUCGGUUGGGCCUUGAAAUUAGCACGGAAUGGCUCCCACCCACCAUAGCCACCAUCAUCGCCGACGGUCGCCGCCCAACCUCCUCCCCGAGCCUCUGAUCGACCUCUCCCGGCCUGUCUCCGCACGGCGAGGUCAAAUCUGGCUUCGCCGUGACCAAAUCUGACCGGCACGCGGGAGAUUCGGCCCGGUAGGAGGGCCGGUCAGAACCCUAACUCGCGAGCCUCACCAGGACGAGGCUCCUCGAGGGCACCCGGGGUUUGCCCUGGGCUUGCGAGAACAGGGCGACCAUGGGAGGAGGUCGCUUUACCCCACGGCGAGGCUCGUCGUGGACCGUAGACCUCGUGAAGGCCUCUGAAAGUCCCAGCCCUUUUCCUGCUUGUUUCUUCGCUGUUUUGUGAGCUGUAGGCUUCAGACAUGAGGCGCUUGAUUACAUGUAUAGGAUGAGUCCGGAACCGGAGAGGUGUAGAAGAACCGAUGGGGAAAAAGUGGCGAUGCAGUAAAAGGAUGUAAUCCCCCAUCAGAAGCAAGUGAUAUCUCACAAAACAUUGGAGUAAGUGAUGUCUUCAUAUAGCUGAUGAUGCAUUGGAGCUCACCGAAAUUAAGGCUAUGAUUGCACCCGUCCUGAUAAUGGCAUCUUGUUUCUGAUCAGUUCUGGUAAUGCGACUCUCACCAAUAAGUACGUUUUUUUUUUUAAUGUCCAUGCAAACUGAGAGAUGCAAUUUUGAGGAUUUACAUUUCCAACUUAAUACGAGGGAGGCUUUUUGUAGCGUUAUGAUUGUGGAAAUGAAGCAGUUGGGUUCGCCAAUGUAAAUUUUUUUGGAUGAACUCCAGCGUUUACUCUUCAUUGAUACCAUAUAAUGAUUACAAGGCCUAAGAAAGACCCAAAAUAAUACAGAUCAGACGCCUAUGUAAAUUUUCUA